Long non-coding RNA from Carassius carassius (crucian carp), 538 nucleotides. RefSeq lists it as uncharacterized. The record is from RefSeq and is a predicted model, not a curated record. Lineage: Eukaryota; Metazoa; Chordata; Actinopteri; Cypriniformes; Cyprinidae. The transcript has 3 exons.
AGAUGUUAAAAGCCAGAGACAUGGGAGAUCAUCAUUCUUUUGAGAUUUUAUAACUCAAACCAACUUUGGAGAUGUCUGAUUUGGAGAGUCAUCAUUCUUGGUCUUCCCUCUUAAAGGCCACUGAUGAAGAGUAGGCGGUGACUGGGAUGAAUGCUUGUCAGAGAAGAUAUUGUCCUUUCCCCUAAACUGAUGCAGCAGUGGUUUUAAAAGAGGACGCUGCCCUGGAUGUAGAAGAUGUCACAUGUGCUGAUGGGGCUUCUUCAUGACUACAUCCAUUAUGCUAAAGAGAUCAUGAAAGUUGACAGUGAUGCAUGAUCUGUAUUCAUGGACUAUGAAACAAACUGUAAGUGCAUCACUUGUAAAAACAAUGUUAAAUGCUUGUUCUGUGUUUAGUAGAAGAGUUUACACUCUGUCAUUCAUACACAUGCUCACAUUCUUUCACACACACGUCUGUUAAAUGUUAUAUCAAUGUUAAUGUUGUGGUUUAUUUGUGUACUGUCAUGCUAGAAUAGUUGGUAAAAAACCUAACUAAUUGUAC